AAAAUUUUAGUUUAUAAAAAAUAUUUUUUUUACAAUAAAAAGAAAAUUUAUUUAAUUAAAUUUUA
RNAcentral lists this transfer RNA (65 nucleotides) under Anastatus shichengensis. RNAcentral's name for it is "tRNA-Val". The record is from RNAcentral. Lineage: Eukaryota; Metazoa; Arthropoda; Insecta; Hymenoptera; Eupelmidae.